CGGGGCAGCACUCGCCGUCGGGGAUGUACAUCUUCUCGCAGUUACUCAGCUCAACGCACUGGAUCUCGUCGCAGAGGACCUGGCCGUUGUCACAGACGCAGAUCCGGCAUGGCUCCGGCUUCCAGAUGUCCCUGUUGGUGCUCACAGGGAGGCUGAGGCCUAUCCCAGCAUGCACUGCAGAAUAAUUAAAGGUCACAGGGUCAACAUAUUCACCCUCAUAGUCUUUCAGAGAGUCAACCGGAUGAACUGCUAAUCCUCCACAACUGCAGGAAAUUCAUUUAUUCCCCCCUUGGUGCAGCUCCGAGUUACUUUCCUGUUUGAUAAUACUGCAGGGUGUUACGAUUGCCAAAGAAAUCACGAUACAUUUUUAAUGCUAAUAAAGCCCUUAAACCUGAGGUGUGUGAGGACUCAAACAGCUGCUCGUCCCCCCUCCAGUGAAACAAGGUUUUCCACCAUUGUCUGCACACACCGUGAGAGGGAAAAAAAAAAAGAUCUGGAAAAGGUUUGUUGCAGCGAUGUCUCCGGCUGUGAGACGUGACAUCAUUUCCUCCUGAGGCAGCGUCUCAGAAAACUUGACUCACGGUCAAAAGGGAAAACCUGCAGCCACCUGGGAGGCGACUUUUGACUCUGAGUUCUUCACAAUUAACCUAACCACACAGCCAUGUACACAAGUCUCCUCACAACAGCCGUGAAAAUAUUUAGAAACAGCUAAAUUCAUCUCCUCCAACAUACAUGGAGAUGAAAUAAGAGGUCUGCAGAGCCUUCACCUGUUCCUGAUACAAACAGCAGGUGGCAGCUCUGUGCUUCAGACUGCAGGUAACUCAGGUUGGACACUGAAGAUGCAGAGAGGAGCCUGACUACUGUAUUAUCCAGGAGAAGAAGGAUGUAGGAGGAUUAUCACAACCUGAACACUCAGGAUGGUUAAAAUGUAAACUCAAAGAGCAGCAUCAGUCAGGUAAAAGUGCAGGUGGACUCUCACUGAGUCCUCCUGCAGCAGGACGACAUGUUUUAACACAGCUCCAGCCCUUAUUUACAUCUGUAUUAAGACGUGCCUGGAAGGCGGCGGCUGUGAAUAAUACUUGGCAGUUGUUUACAUUUCAUUAGAGAGCCGAGUGAACAGAGCUGAGAGCGAGAGGACAGCUCAGAGUGACAGCCUACGUACCAACACACUGAAUUUACUACAUCAGUCAACUGGAUGAUAAGAAAUGCAAACACAUUAUAAGAUAUUGGAGCAAUGAUCGGAAUCAGAAACAGCUUUAUUUGCCAAAUGUACAUAUUUAAGUAUGCUUAUGCUACAAUGAUAUCACCUACAGUGUAGCACGAUGAUCUAUAAAAGUGUGACAGUGGAGUUAAUCGAUAAGAAACUAUGUCAGCCUGAAUAUUUUAAAUGUUAUAAUGAAGAUGUUGUAACGCAACAAGCUUUACCAAAGCAGUAGAAACUGAUUUAACACCACAUUUUGUACAAUUAACACCCAAGAAUGUCCAACUAUGGUGCCCAUAUUUGUUAACAGCCAAAAAAAGAAAACUGACUGUCUGAGAGCAAAGCAACUACUGAGUGCUUCAAUAACUUCUUUUAAAUGAAGAAAAAAACUUGACGGGAUGACUUGUUGCUCUAUUUAACACAGUGUAGGAAAACAUCGUGUCUGCUGCUCGUGGAAAACCGAGAGAAAAAGGUGAUUCCAAAAACAACCCGGACAGGAAGAAUUCCUAUUUUAGCCACCAGGACCAUUUAAAUACUGUUCACAGAUCUAACAUUCAGUGGUGAAGUGAAAGGCUACUGCAAGUGAAUGUCUUGGUACGAGUUCAAAGUGAAGCUAACGUAUAGAAAAACGACAGUCUGAGUGGUAGAUUGCAUUUAAACUUGCCUUAACAAGACGUAACUGGAACCUCUGAAACACCUCAAAUUAAAGUCGACUCCGGUGCUGCACGGAUGCAACAUGUAAUCAGAUGCUCUUAAGCUCAUUACAUCUAAUCUCAUGAGCACGAGUGGCUGUGAUUUGGGUAAUAGCUCAGACGAUGGUAUGGAAGACAAACAGGAACCGAAAAAUACAGAAUCACAUCAUGAUUUUUAUGUAUGCUGUGUUUCUUCACCCUUUAAAUACUACUAUUAUUUUGCCUUUCCCUUCCAGUUUUGCUUAUUGAGUUUUCUUUUCUUUCCAAAUACACAAAUAUUAGAAAUCUGUUAAA
Acanthopagrus latus (yellowfin seabream) is the source of this 2187-nucleotide long non-coding RNA. RefSeq lists it as uncharacterized. Lineage: Eukaryota; Metazoa; Chordata; Actinopteri; Spariformes; Sparidae. The transcript has 4 exons. The record is from RefSeq and is a predicted model, not a curated record.